UACGUAGGUGGCAAGCGUUGUCCGGAAUUAUUGGGCGUAAAGCGCGCGCAGGUGGUUUCUUAAGUCUGAUGUGAAAGCCCACGGCUCAACCGUGGAGGGUCAUUGGAAACUGGGGAACUUGAGUGCAGGAGAGAAGAGUGGAAUUCCACGUGUAGCGGUGAAAUGCGUAGAGAUGUGGAGGAACACCAGUGGCGAAGGCGGCAUCCUGGACCGAGAUUGACGCUGAGGCGCGAAAGCCAGGGGAGCAAACGGG
This 253-nucleotide ribosomal RNA is filed under the name uncultured bacterium. RNAcentral's name for it is "partial 16S ribosomal RNA". It matches the Rfam family "Bacterial small subunit ribosomal RNA", at positions 524 to 776 of the family's 1533-position model. The record is from RNAcentral.